UCGUGCGAGAAAGUUUCCUUCGGGAGACGAGUAAAGCGGCGCACGGGUGAGUAACACGUAGGUAACCUACCCCAGAGCUUGGAAUAACCCGUCGAAAGAUGGGCUAAUACCGGAUACGACCUCGGUGGCUGCGGCCACUGCGGUGAAAGGUGGCCUCUGCUUGCACGCUACCACUCAGGGAUGGGCCUGCGCGCCAUUAGCUUGUUGGUGAGGUAACGGCUCACCAAGGCUACGAUGGCUAGCUGGUCUGAGAGGAUGAUCAGCCACACUGGGACUGAAACACGGCCCAGACUCCUACGGGAGGCAGCAGUGGGGGAUAUUGCGCAAUGGACGAAAGCCUGACGCAGCGACGCCGCGUGGGUGAUGAAGGCCUUCGGGUCGUAAAGCCCUGUCGAGGGGGAAGAAAUGGUCGGGGCCCAAUACGCCUCGCCUUUGACGGUACCCCUAAAGGAAGCACCGGCUAACUCCGUGCCAGCAGCCGCGGUAAUACGGAGGGUGCAAGGGUUGUUCGGAAUCACUGGGCGUAAAGCGCGUGUAGGCGGCUCGUUAAGUCUGUUG
This 558-nucleotide ribosomal RNA is filed under the name uncultured bacterium. Its description in RNAcentral is "bacterial SSU rRNA". It matches the Rfam family "Bacterial small subunit ribosomal RNA", at positions 62 to 594 of the family's 1533-position model. The record is from RNAcentral.